ACCGCCCUCUUUCUUCAUUCCUAACACAUGCAAGUCGAACGAGACCUUCGGGUCUAGUGGCGCACGGGUGCGUAACGCGUGGGAACCUGCCCUUAGGUUCGGAAUAACUCCCCGAAAGGGGUGCUAAUACCGGAUAAUGUCUUAGGACCAAAGAUUUAUCGCCUUUGGAUGGGCCCGCGUUGGAUUAGCUAGUUGGUAGGGUACAAGCCUACCAAGGCGACGAUCCAUAGCUGGUCUGAGAGGAUGAUCAGCCACACUGGGACUGAGACACGGCCCAGACUCCUACGGGAGGCAGCAGUAGGGAAUAUUGUACAAUGGGCGAAAACCUGAUACAGCAAUGCCGCGUGAGUGAUGAAGGCCUUAGGGUUGUAAAGCUCUUUUACCCGGGAUGAUAAUGACAGUACCGGGAGAAUAAGCACCGGCUAACUCCGUG
RNAcentral lists this ribosomal RNA (433 nucleotides) under uncultured bacterium. Its description in RNAcentral is "partial 16S ribosomal RNA". It matches the Rfam family "Bacterial small subunit ribosomal RNA", at positions 36 to 507 of the family's 1533-position model. The record is from RNAcentral.